UAACGCGUGGGUAACCUGCCUCAUACAGGGGGAUAACAGUUAGAAAUGACUGCUAAUACCGCAUAAGCGCACAGCAUCGCAUGAUGCCGUGUGAAAAACUCCGGUGGUAUGAGAUGGACCCGCGUCUGAUUAGCUGGUUGGUGAGGUAACGGCCCACCAAGGCGACGAUCAGUAGCCGACCUGAGAGGGUGACCGGCCACAUUGGGACUGAGACACGGCCCAA
Molecule: ribosomal RNA, 223 nt
Filed under: uncultured bacterium
Lineage: Bacteria
Description: partial 16S ribosomal RNA
Rfam family: Bacterial small subunit ribosomal RNA
Source: RNAcentral